Molecule: transfer RNA, 75 nt
Filed under: Paludihabitans sp.
Lineage: Bacteria; Bacillati; Bacillota; Clostridia; Eubacteriales; Oscillospiraceae
Also listed under: 1 other name
Description: tRNA-Glu
Rfam family: tRNA
About the family: Transfer RNA (tRNA) molecules are approximately 80 nucleotides in length. Their secondary structure includes four short double-helical elements and three loops (D, anti-codon, and T loops).
Source: RNAcentral
GGCCCCUUGGUCAAGCGGCUAAGACGCCGCCCUCUCACGGCGGAAUCGCGAGUUCGAUUCUCGCAGGGGUCACCA